Molecule: small nuclear RNA, 105 nt
Organism: Monodelphis domestica (gray short-tailed opossum)
Lineage: Eukaryota; Metazoa; Chordata; Mammalia; Didelphimorphia; Didelphidae
Source: Ensembl
GAUGUUUGCUCCAGCAACAUCACAUAUUAAAAUUGAAUGAUAUGGAGAUUAGCAUGGCUCCUGCACACAGAUGACAUGCAAAUUUGCAAUGCAUUCCAUAUUUUA